UUUUUUUGUCAGUAAUAAAAAAUAUAAUCUGCCCACUGAAAUUUUAAGGGCCGCAGGAUUUAACUGUGCAAAGGUAGCAUAAUAAUUAGUUUUUUAAUUGAAAAAUGGAAUGAAUGAUUGAAUGAUUUAAAAUUAUUUAAAAAUAAAUUAUUGAAUUUAAAUAAAAAGUGAAAAUGCUUUAAAUUUUUAAAAGACGAUAAGACCCUAUAGAUCUUAAAGUAUUUAUUUGUUAUAUUUAGGUUUGAAUUAAUUUAAAAAUUUAUUUUUAACUGGGGUGGUAAAAGAAAUUAAUUAACUUCUUUAUUGUAAGAUGAACUUGAAAUUUGGAUUAAAAAGAUACCUUAGGGAUAACAGCGUUAUUAUAUUAAAAAGAUCUUAUUGAUAGUAUAGUUUGCGACCUCGAUGUUGAAUUAAAAAUAUUUUUGUUAGCAGUUUAAUAAAUUAUUAGUCUGUUCGACUAUUAUAGUUUUACA
RNAcentral lists this ribosomal RNA (473 nucleotides) under Megalothorax granulosus. Its description in RNAcentral is "partial 16S ribosomal RNA". Lineage: Eukaryota; Metazoa; Arthropoda; Collembola; Neelipleona; Neelidae. The record is from RNAcentral.